This 73-nucleotide transfer RNA is filed under the name Fasciola hepatica (liver fluke). It matches the Rfam family "tRNA". From Rfam's summary of the family: Transfer RNA (tRNA) molecules are approximately 80 nucleotides in length. Their secondary structure includes four short double-helical elements and three loops (D, anti-codon, and T loops). The record is from Rfam by way of RNAcentral. Lineage: Eukaryota; Metazoa; Platyhelminthes; Trematoda; Plagiorchiida; Fasciolidae.
ACCGCAAUAGCUUGGCUGGUAGAGCAUCCUCCCGGCAAGCGUAAGAUCGCCGGUUCGGUUCCGGCUCGCGGAG